Molecule: long non-coding RNA, 1445 nt
Organism: Astatotilapia calliptera (eastern happy)
Lineage: Eukaryota; Metazoa; Chordata; Actinopteri; Cichliformes; Cichlidae
Source: Ensembl
GAAGAACUGACUGGUUACAGACAGUGCGGGAGCAGCGGCUUCGCUCAUGCGCGAGUCAUUUGCAGUUCGGACGCAUAGGUGCGAACGUCUGCUGCAGUGUUGCCAACUUAGCGACUUUGUCGCUAUAUUUAGCGAGUUUUCAGACCCCCUUAGCGACUUUUUUUUCUAAAAAGCGACUAGCGACAAAUCUGGCGACUUUUUCUGGUGUUAUUGGAGACUUAUUUAUGACGACUUUUUGACGUGAAAGCGGGUUACUCUCAAAAAGCAGCGGGUGCUGCCGUGGGUACCUCGCAGCUGGGGGAGGACUAUCCUCCGCCUGUGAGCACUUUGGCACGGGUGAGGUGCCUAUGGCAGCACCGCUGCUUGUUAAGGGUGUGUUCACACCGAACGCGAUGGGCGCGUGAAAAAAGCCCCAAACGCCCCUAACUUGACGCGUGCACAUUCGCACCUCUACGCGUGUCCAAGAAAAAUCCAUCGCGCCCCAAAAUAUCAUAUUUUAACGCGCGUGAACCGGAAAUGUGGGAGGGAUGUGGGAGGAAGUUUUGCAAGACCGGUAUCUUUGCAAGAUGGCAGCUGUCGAGCUAGCGCUUGAAGAGAGAGUCUCCCUUCUCUAUUUACUGUGGAGAGCAGAGUAGCGGCGUAAAGCACAUCCUUGCCGUACCUGGGUCCAUCAGGUCCUCCAGAGGCGUGAGCAGUUUGGUGAGUUUCACCACUUGCUCCAGGAGCUGCGCCUGGAUGACGGCCGAUUCCAGCGCUAUCACCGUCAUUCACUCGGCCAGUUUGAGGACCUGCUGUCCCGCGUCGGUCCCAGAAUCGCCCGCCUAGACACCGACUACAGGCGCUCAAUCCCACCUGCAGAGCGCCUGUCCGUCUGCCUGAGGUUCCUUGUCACCGCGGACUCCUUCAGCACCAAGCGUUCAGUUACAGAGUCGGUGUGUCAGAUCACCCCCAGGCAGCGACGGCCAUCUGGGACUGUCUAGUGGACGACUUCAUGGCUGUGCCUUCACCUGGAGACUGGCGGUCCAUCACAGAGGGAUUCCAGGAGCGCUGGAACUUUCCUCUGUGCUGUGCAGCUCUGGAUGGGAAGCACGUCCAGACAAAGGCACCCCAUAUAUCAUAUAGGAGACACACACAUUGAUAUACACUAAAUAUUCAUUUCAUUUCUUUUUUGUGGUGCCCAAAUUGAUGCACCUGCUUGAUUUUGUUUAAACAAUUAUUGCACACUUUUUGUAAAUCCAGUAAACUUCUUUUCACUUCUCAAAUAUCACUGUGUGUGUCUCCUGUAUGAUAUUUAACUGACAUUUUUUAUUGUAACAACCAACGAUUUAUACAGGAAAAUGAUGUCUAUUAACAAGGUUGCCCAAACUUCUGCAUCCCACUGUAUCAGUAUAUUUUGUCAUUAGUAUAAUAUGAAAUAAAUUCUACAUGUGUCAAGUCGUGUGCCA